This is a non-coding RNA of Chlorocebus sabaeus (green monkey), 309 nucleotides long. The record is from Rfam. Lineage: Eukaryota; Metazoa; Chordata; Mammalia; Primates; Cercopithecidae.
GCCGGGCGCAUUGGCUCAAGCCUGUAAUCCCAGCACUUUGGGAGGCUGAGGCAGGAGGAUCACUUGAUCUCAGGAGUUCAAGAUGGGCAACAUAACAACACCCUAUCUCUACAAAAAUAAUUUUUUGUUUUUUGAAAUGGAGUUUCGUUCUUGUUGCCCAGGCUGGAGUGCANNNNNNNNNNUGCACUCCAGCCUGGGCAACAAGAACGAAACUCCAUUUCAAAAAACAAAAAAUUAUUUUUGUAGAGAUAGGGUGUUGUUAUGUUGCCCAUCUUGAACUCCUGAGAUCAAGUGAUCCUCCUGCCUCAG